AGAGCGAACGUUAGCGGCGGGCUUAACACAUGCAAGUCGAGCGAGAAAGGUGGCUUCGGUCACCGAGUAAAGCGGCGCACGGGUGAGUAACACGUGGAUAACCUGCCCUUCAGUGGGGGACAACCAUCCGAAAGGAUGGCUAAUACCGCAUACGUCAUAGGGAGCUGCGGCACUCUAUGGGAAAGCUAGCCUCUAUUUAUAAGCUGGCGCUGAAGG
RNAcentral lists this ribosomal RNA (216 nucleotides) under uncultured soil bacterium. Its description in RNAcentral is "partial 16S ribosomal RNA". It matches the Rfam family "Bacterial small subunit ribosomal RNA", at positions 26 to 224 of the family's 1533-position model. The record is from RNAcentral.